This 653-nucleotide ribosomal RNA is filed under the name Escherichia coli. RNAcentral's name for it is "partial 23S ribosomal RNA". It matches the Rfam family "Bacterial large subunit ribosomal RNA", at positions 1252 to 1890 of the family's 2925-position model. Lineage: Bacteria; Pseudomonadati; Pseudomonadota; Gammaproteobacteria; Enterobacterales; Enterobacteriaceae. The record is from RNAcentral.
GAAGGUGUGCUGUGAGGCAUGCUGGAGGUAUCAGAAGUGCGAAUGCUGACAUAAGUAACGAUAAAGCGGGUGAAAAGCCCGCUCGCCGGAAGACCAAGGGUUCCUGUCCAACGUUAAUCGGGGCAGGGUGAGUCGACCCCUAAGGCGAGGCCGAAAGGCGUAGUCGAUGGGAAACAGGUUAAUAUUCCUGUACUUGGUGUUACUGCGAAGGGGGGACGGAGAAGGCUAUGUUGGCCGGGCGACGGUUGUCCCGGUUUAAGCGUGUAGGCUGGUUUUCCAGGCAAAUCCGGAAAAUCAAGGCUGAGGCGUGAUGACGAGGCACUACGGUGCUGAAGCAACAAAUGCCCUGCUUCCAGGAAAAGCCUCUAAGCAUCAGGUAACAUCAAAUCGUACCCCAAACCGACACAGGUGGUCAGGUAGAGAAUACCAAGGCGCUUGAGAGAACUCGGGUGAAGGAACUAGGCAAAAUGGUGCCGUAACUUCGGGAGAAGGCACGCUGAUAUGUAGGUGAAGCGACUUGCUCGUGGAGCUGAAAUCAGUCGAAGAUACCAGCUGGCUGCAACUGUUUAUUAAAAACACAGCACUGUGCAAACACGAAAGUGGACGUAUACGGUGUGACGCCUGCCCGGUGCCGGAAGGUUAAUUGAUGGGGU